Molecule: ribosomal RNA, 492 nt
Filed under: uncultured bacterium
Lineage: Bacteria
Description: partial 16S ribosomal RNA
Rfam family: Bacterial small subunit ribosomal RNA
Source: RNAcentral
AGUGAACGCUGGCGGUAGGCCUAACACAUGCAAGUCGAACGGCAGCACAGUAAGAGCUUGCUCUUACGGGUGGCGAGUGGCGGACGGGUGAGGAAUACAUCGGAAUCUACUUUUUCGUGGGGGAUAACGUAGGGAAACUUACGCUAAUACCGCAUACGACCUACGGGUGAAAGCAGGGGAUCUUCGCACCUUGCGCGAUUGAAUGAGCCGAUGUCGGAUUAGCUAGUUGGCGGGGUAAAGGCCCACCAAGGCGACGAUCCGUAGCUGGUCUGAGAGGAUGAUCAGCCACACUGGAACUGAGACACGGUCCAGACUCCUACGGGAGGCAGCAGUGGGGAAUAUUGGACAAUGGGCGCAAGCCUGAUCCAGCCAUACCGCGUGGGUGAAGAAGGCCUUCGGGUUGUAAAGCCCUUUUGUUGGGAAAGAAAGGCAGCAGGUUAAUACCCCGCUGUUCUGACGGUACCCAAAGAAUAAGCACCGGCUAACUUCGUG